AUUGAACGCUGGCGGCAUGCCUUACACAUGCAAGUCGAACGGCAGCAUGAUCUAGCUUGCUAGAUUGAUGGCGAGUGGCGAACGGGUGAGUAAUACAUCGGAACGUGCCCUGUAGUGGGGGAUAACUAGUCGAAAGAUUAGCUAAUACCGCAUACGACCUGAGGGUGAAAGUGGGGGACCGCAAGGCCUCAUGCUAUAGGAGCGGCCGAUGUCUGAUUAGCUAGUUGGUGAGGUAAAGGCUCACCAAGGCGACGAUCAGUAGCUGGUCUGAGAGGACGAUCAGCCACACUGGGACUGAGACACGGCCCAGACUCCUACGGGAGGCAGCAGUGGGGAAUUUUGGACAAUGGGGGCAACCCUGAUCCAGCAAUGCCGCGUGUGUGAAGAAGGCCUUCGGGUUGUAAAGCACUUUUGUCCGGAAAGAAAUCGCACUUACUAAUAUUAGGUGUGGAUGACGUACCGAAGAUAG
Molecule: ribosomal RNA, 469 nt
Filed under: Burkholderia sp. oral taxon 406
Lineage: Bacteria; Pseudomonadati; Pseudomonadota; Betaproteobacteria; Burkholderiales; Burkholderiaceae
Description: bacterial SSU rRNA
Rfam family: Bacterial small subunit ribosomal RNA
Source: RNAcentral